Molecule: ribosomal RNA, 1470 nt
Filed under: metagenome
Description: bacterial SSU rRNA
Rfam family: Bacterial small subunit ribosomal RNA
Source: RNAcentral
AGAGUUUGAUCCUGGCUCAGGACGAACGCUGGCGGCACGCUUAACACAUGCAAGUCGAACGAGAGAAGAGGAGCUUGCUUUUCUGAUCUAGUGGCGGACGGGUGAGUAACACGUGAGCAAUCUGCCUUUCAGAGGGGGAUACCGAUUGGAAACGAUCGUUAAUACCGCAUAACAUAAUUGAACCGCAUGAUUUGAUUAUCAAAGAUUUAUCGCUGAAAGAUGAGCUCGCGUCGGAUUAGCUAGUUGGUAAGGUAACGGCUUACCAAGGCGACGAUCAGUAGCCGGACUGAGAGGUUGAUCGGCCACAUUGGGACUGAGACACGGCCCAGACUCCUACGGGAGGCAGCAGUGGGGAAUAUUGCACAAUGGAGGAAACUCUGAUGCAGCGAUGCCGCGUGAGGGAAGAAGGUUUUAGGAUUGUAAACCUCUGUCUUCAGGGACGAAAAAAGACGGUACCUGAGGAGGAAGCUCCGGCUAACUACGUGCCAGCAGCCGCGGUAAUACGUAGGGAGCGAGCGUUGUCCGGAAUUACUGGGUGUAAAGGGAGCGUAGGCGGGAUCGCAAGUCAGAUGUGAAAACUAUGGGCUUAACCCAUAAACUGCAUUUGAAACUGUGGUUCUUGAGUGAAGUAGAGGUAAGCGGAAUUCCUAGUGUAGCGGUGAAAUGCGUAGAUAUUAGGAGGAACAUCAGUGGCGAAGGCGGCUUACUGGGCUUUAACUGACGCUGAGGCUCGAAAGCGUGGGGAGCAAACAGGAUUAGAUACCCUGGUAGUCCACGCCGUAAACGAUGAUUACUAGGUGUGGGGGGACUAACCCCUUCCGUGCCGCAGCAAACGCAAUAAGUAAUCCACCUGGGGAGUACGACCGCAAGGUUGAAACUCAAAGGAAUUGACGGGGGCCCGCACAAGCAGUGGAGUAUGUGGAUUAAUUCGAAGCAACGCGAAGAACCUUACCAGGUCUUGACAUCGUAUGCAUAGCUCAGAGAUGAGUGAAAUCUCUUCGGAGACAUAUAGACAGGUGGUGCAUGGUUGUCGCCAGCUCGUGUCGUGAGAUGUUGGGUUAAGUCCCGCAACGAGCGCAACCCUUACUGUUAGUUGCUACGCAAGAGCACUCUAGCAGGACUGCCGUUGACAAAACGGAGGAAGGUGGGGAUGACGUCAAAUCAUCAUGCCCCUUAUGACCUGGGCCUCACACGUACUACAAUGGCUGUCAACAGAGGGAAGCAAAGCCGCGAGGUGGAGCGAACCCCUAAAAGCAGUCUUAGUUCGGAUUGUAGGCUGCAACCCGCCUACAUGAAGUCGGAAUUGCUAGUAAUCGCAGAUCAGCAUGCUGCGGUGAAUACGUUCCCGGGCCUUGUACACACCGCCCGUCACGCCAUGGGAGUCGGUAACACCCGAAGCCUGUAGUCUAACCGCAAGGAGGACGCAGUCGAAGGUGGGAUUGAUGACUGGGGUGAAGUCGUAACAAGGUA